AGAGUUUGAUCCUGGCUCAGGAUGAACGCUAGCGACAGGCCUAACACAUGCAAGUCGAGGGGCAGCACAUGAGUAGCAAUACGAUGGUGGCGACCGGCGCACGGGUGAGUAACACGUAUGCAACCUGCCUGUAAGAGGGGAAUAACCCGGAGAAAUUCGGACUAAUACCGCAUAAUACCACGAGACUGCAUGGUUUUGUGGUUAAACAUUUAUGGCUUACAGAUGGGCAUGCGUAUGAUUAGAUAGUUGGUAGGGUAACGGCCUACCAAGUCUACGAUCAUUAGGGGUUCUGAGAGGAAGGUCCCCCACACUGGUACUGAGACACGGACCAGACUCCUACGGGAGGCAGCAGUGAGGAAUAUUGGUCAAUGGGCGAGAGCCUGAACCAGCCAAGUCGCGUGAAGGAAGAAGGUUCUAUGGAUUGUAAACUUCUUUUGCAGGGGAAUAAAGGACGGUACGUGUACUAUUUUGUAUGUACCUUGCGAAUAAGGAUCGGCUAACUCCGUGCCAGCAGCCGCGGUAAU
This 524-nucleotide ribosomal RNA is filed under the name uncultured bacterium. Its description in RNAcentral is "bacterial SSU rRNA". It matches the Rfam family "Bacterial small subunit ribosomal RNA", at positions 8 to 524 of the family's 1533-position model. The record is from RNAcentral.